RNAcentral lists this ribosomal RNA (1511 nucleotides) under uncultured bacterium. Its description in RNAcentral is "bacterial SSU rRNA". It matches the Rfam family "Bacterial small subunit ribosomal RNA". The record is from RNAcentral.
AGAGUUUGAUCCUGGCUCAGAACGAACGCUGGCGGCAGGCCUAACACAUGCAAGUCGAACGAUAAGCCACCUUCGGGUGGUGGACAGUGGCAGACGGGUGAGUAACGCGUGGGAACGUGCCUUUCGGUUCGGGAUAACCCAGGGAAACUUGGGCUAAUACCGGAUACGCCCUCCGGGGGAAAGAUUCAUUGCCGAAAGAUCGGCCCGCGUCGGAUUAGCUAGUUUGGUGGGGUAAAAGCCUACCAAGGCCGACGAUCCGUAGCUGGUCUGGAGAGGAUGACCAGCCCACACUGGGGACUGAAGACACGGCCCAGAACUCCUACGGGGAGGGCAGCAGUGGGGGAAUUAUUGGACCAAUGGGGCGCCAAGCCCUGAAUCCCGCCAUGGCCGGCGUGGGGUGAAAAAAGGGCCCUUAGGGGUUGGUAAACCCCUUUUCCACGGGGGAAAAUAAAUGAGAGGGACCCCGCAGAAAAAGCCCCCGGCUUAAUUCCGUGGCCGGCAGCCGCCGGUAAUACCGAAGGGGGCUAGCCUUGUUUCGGAAAUUCUGGGCGUAAAACGCGCGUAUGCGGACCUGCCAAUCGGGGGUGAAAAACCCAAGCUCAAACCUCGGAACUGCCUUUUAUAUCUGCGGGUCUUCUAGUCCGGGGGAGGGGAGUGGAAUUUCUCAGUGGUAGAGUUGAAAUUUCGUCUCAUAUUAUGAAGAACACACGUGGCGAAGAGGGCUCACUGGUCCGGUACUGACGCUGAAGACGCGCAAAAAGUGGGACCAACAGCAUUGAUCCCUUGUAGUCCACGCGUACUAUGGUGCUAGCCUUCGUCGCCAUCCCGGUCGUUGCCGCAGGCCCACCGCUUUAAGCCAGCCUGCUUGGGGAGUACGGUUCGCAAGGAUUUAAACUCCAAAGGAUUGACCGGGGCCCCGCCCCAAGGCGUUGAGCCAUGUGGUUUUAUUUCGAGGCCACCGCGAAGAACCCUUUACCCAGCCCCUUGACUUUCCCGAUUCGGGGCUCCCAGAGACGGAGCUUCUUCAAUUGGUCCGUUGACCAGGUGCUGCAUGGCUGUCGUUCAGCUCGUGUCGUGAGAUGUUGGGUUAAGUCCCCGCAACGAGCCGCAACCCCUUGCCCAUUAGUUGCCAUCAUUCAGUUGGGCACUCUAGUGGGACUGCCCGGUGAUAAGCCGGAGGAAGGUGGGGAUGACGUCAAGUCAUCAUGGCCCUUACGGGCUGGGCUACACACGUGCUACAAUGGCGGUGACAAUGGGCAGCCACUCCGCGAGGAGGCGCUAAUCCCAAAAAGCCGUCUCAGUUCGGAUUGUUCUCUGCAACUCGAGAGCAUGAAGUCGGAAUCGCUAGUAAUCGCGGAUCAGCAUGCCGCGGUGAAUACGUUCCCGGGCCUUGUACACACCGCCCGUCACACCAUGGGAGUUGGUUUUACCCGAAGCCGGUGCGCUAACCGCAAGGAGGCAGCCGUCCACGGUAGGGUCAGCGACUGGGGUGAAGUCGUAACAAGGUAACC